GUGAAAGUGGAGGCAGCUACGGAGGCGGUGAAGAAGCGAGUGGAAGUGGUGGCGGCUACGGAGGAGGAAGCGGAAAAUCAUCCCAUUCCUAGUCUUCUUCCUCAAAAUCUGGUGACCAAGAUGAGACAAAAGACUGAGAUCCACUGGGAUUGUCUGAGGGAAUUCUUGUGAAACCAGAAAGAAAGUUCAAGAAAUGAUGCAACAACAACAAAAUAAAACCCAGGAGAAAUAGUACGACAAGAAGUUAAAAGAUCGUGAGGAGAGCCCUGCAGUGGAGGAGGAGAACCUGUUGGCCAGGAACUGCCAACAGCUUUUGUUCUGGAUAAGCCCCUCGUGGAGGAGGACAAGGCAAGAAGAUGGGUCUUCAUCCUAACCCACGGAAGCAGCGCUGGACUGAGAAGCACCACCUGCGAAACUCCCAGCCCCACUGAGUAACCUCCAGGGCAGGGGCAUGUCCCUGCUUACGAGCUCCCACCAGCCCGUCACACCCCCCCACCCACCUCAGAGGCUCCUGCCCCUGACCUGAGUGAGCUGUGUCUGAGUUGGGUCCCUCCUCCCUCCAAGGAGUGUGCUCUAUGGACAACAGCCUCUAUCCUCAUUUGUCCCUUCCUCCUAGCGCCUCCUUCUGCACCCCUGACCCCGCUCCAUGCUGUCACCUCCUCUGUAUGGCAGCUGGGCCUCGUCUGUCCUGGGACGGUGGCAAGCAUGUACAGAAGUCAUCUUCCUUAUUUCUCACUACCCCCAGCUUCCCAGAUGGGAAACUGAGGCUCAGAGAAAUGACAUAACUCAGCUGACAAAGGAUCUGAGUGGGUCUGACCCGCAAGCCCACCCUCUUCACCUCAUGCUGUCUAAAACAAUUACAGACACCUCCCACGAGCAGGAAAGCUCUGGAAAUGUCUUCUUGGAAAGCAAGCAGCUACCCAUGAACAGACUUCUCAAAGCUUUUGGCCUUGGCCUCCCAAGGUGCUGGGACUACAGGCGUGGGUCACUGCACCUGGCCAAAGCUUUUGUUUGCUUAAAGUGCUUUGUAAGUUUAUAAGAGGAGGCUACAGAACCCAGAAAUCACCUAUGGAUUUGACCACGAGAUGCGCUGCUGAAUUCAUGGUGGGAAAUGCUGAUGAUCUCUGAUGGAGGCUGCUGGGUGGCUGCUGCCCUCACCCUGACCUGUCCUCCCCAGCUGGACGGGGGACUUCUAGGAGGGGGAGGGUCCCCACUGAAGAUGGACACAUGUCCUGUCAGAGUUUCUGAGAAGCUCCAGCCCUUAGGCAGAAUGGGACAAGGAGAAACAGACUUGGGUCUGUACUCGGGACUGCAGAAGCCGAGCAUGAGGAGUUGUGGGGACAGUGCCCCUCCUUCAUCCCCACCUCCCAGCCCCCCAGUAUCUCCUUCUCCCCCUGAUCCUUCCCUUGAUCAGGCCAGGGCCCUGUCAUUGUCCCAACAAAUGCCUACCGCCAGUUCAUCGCACCUUGUUUUCUCUGAUGUCCUCGCAAUCACACACCUUGUGCCCCUGAGCUGGGUACACGAUCCUUUGCAAUGUGUGCUACGAGAACUGUAUUGCUAAUAAUAAAGACAAAAUU
This 1577-nucleotide long non-coding RNA is filed under the name Homo sapiens (human). Its description in RNAcentral is "long non-coding RNA NONHSAT176197.1". The record is from RNAcentral. Lineage: Eukaryota; Metazoa; Chordata; Mammalia; Primates; Hominidae.